CAGAACGAACGCUGGCGGCGCGUUUAAGCAUGCAAGUCGAGCGGCAAGGGCCUUCGGGCCCCUAGAGCGGCGGACGGGUGAGUAACACGUGGACAAUCUGCCCCCCGGCCCGGGAUAGCCCAGGGAAAUCUGGAUUAAUACCGGAUGAGACGGGACCCGCGAUGGCGGGACCCGGGAAAGGCGCUGCGGCGCCGCCGGGGGAUGAGUCUGCGUCCCAUUAGCUAGACGGCGGGGUAACGGCCCACCGUGGCGACGAUGGGUAGCCGGCCUGAGAGGGUGGACGGCCACAUUGGAACUGAGACACGGUCCAGACUCCUACGGGAGGCAGCAGCCAAGAAUCUUCCGCAAUGGGCGAAAGCCUGUCGGAGCGAACCGCCGCGUGAACGAAGAAGGCCGUGAGGUUGUAAAGUUCUUUUCGGGAGGGGGAACAACCGUGGCAGGGAAUGGCCGCGGGAUGACGUGAAUCCCGGAAUAAGCCCCGGCUAACUACGUGCCAGCAGCUGC
This 504-nucleotide ribosomal RNA is filed under the name uncultured bacterium. Its description in RNAcentral is "bacterial SSU rRNA". It matches the Rfam family "Bacterial small subunit ribosomal RNA", at positions 25 to 518 of the family's 1533-position model. The record is from RNAcentral.